CGGCAACAGCUCAAAUUUGAAAUCUGGGGCCUGGCCUCCGAGUUGUAAUUUGCAGAGGGUGCCUCGGGGAGUGGACCGGCCCAAGUGCCUUGGAACAGGAUACCGAAGAGGGUGAGAGUCCCGUAUCCGGCCGGCACCGCCCCCCGUGUGAGGCCCCUUCGAC
This 163-nucleotide ribosomal RNA is filed under the name Sympoventuriaceae sp. RNAcentral's name for it is "partial large subunit ribosomal RNA". It matches the Rfam family "Eukaryotic large subunit ribosomal RNA", at positions 99 to 261 of the family's 3401-position model. Lineage: Eukaryota; Fungi; Ascomycota; Dothideomycetes; Venturiales; Sympoventuriaceae. The record is from RNAcentral.